UACGAAGGGGGCUAGCGUUGUUCGGAAUUACUGGGCGUAAAGCGCGCGUAGGCGGGUUUGUAAGUCAGGGGUGAAAUCCCGGGGCUCAACCUCGGAACUGCCUUUGAUACUGCUGAUCUCGAGUCCGGAAGAGGUGAGUGGAAUUCCUAGUGUAGAGGUGAAAUUCGUAGAUAUUAGGUAGAACACCAGUGGCGAAGGCGGCCACCUGGCCCGCAACUGACGCUGAGGCGCGAAAGCGUGGGGAGCAAACAGG
Molecule: ribosomal RNA, 253 nt
Filed under: uncultured bacterium
Lineage: Bacteria
Description: partial 16S ribosomal RNA
Rfam family: Bacterial small subunit ribosomal RNA
Source: RNAcentral